This 750-nucleotide ribosomal RNA is filed under the name Halomonas sp. Loihi-Chm(16S)-8. Its description in RNAcentral is "bacterial SSU rRNA". It matches the Rfam family "Bacterial small subunit ribosomal RNA", at positions 8 to 753 of the family's 1533-position model. Lineage: Bacteria; Pseudomonadati; Pseudomonadota; Gammaproteobacteria; Oceanospirillales; Halomonadaceae. The record is from RNAcentral.
AGAGUUUGAUCCUGGCUCAGAUUGAACGCUGGCGGCAGGCCUAACACAUGCAAGUCGAGCGGAUGAAGGGGGCUUGCUCUCUGAUUCAGCGGCGGACGGGUGAGUAAUGCCUAGGAAUCUGCGUGGUAGUGGGGGACAACGUUUCGAAAGGAACGCUAAUACCGCAUACGUCCUACGGGAGAAAGCAGGGGACCUUCGGGCCUUGCGCUAUCAGAUGAGCCUAGGUCGGAUUAGCUAGUUGGUGAGGUAAUGGCUCACCAAGGCGACGAUCCGUAACUGGUCUGAGAGGAUGAUCAGUCACACUGGAACUGAGACACGGUCCAAACUCCUACGGGAGGCAGCAGUGGGGAAUAUUGGACAAUGGGCGAAAGCCUGAUCCAGCCACUGCCGCGUUGUGUGAAGAAGGUCUUCGGAUUGUAAAGCACUUUAAGUUGGGAGGAAGAGCAGUAAGUUAAUACCUUGCUGUUUUGACGUUACCGACAGAAUAAGCACCGGCUAACUUCGUGCCAGCAGCCGCGGUAAUACGAAGGGUGCAAGCGUUAAUCGGAAUUACUGGGCGUAAAGCGCGCGUAGGUGGUUUGUUAAUUUGGAUGUGAAAGCCCCGGGCUCAACCUGGGAACUGCAUCCAAAACUGGCAAGCUAGAGUAUGGCAGAAGGUGGUGGAAUUUCCUGUGUACCGGUGAAAUGCUUAAAUAUAGGAAGGACCCCAGUGGCGAAGGCAACCCCUGGGCUAUUACUGACACUGAGGUG